GCUCAACUUCUAGCCCUACCACCCUUCAUGCAAAAUCCUUAAUUUUAUCAAACAAUUAAAACAUUUUCACAAUUUAGUACAAGGUGAUAAAAAAAUUAUUCUGGAGCAUUAUAAAAAGUACCGCAAGGGAAAGAUGAAAUAUUAAUGAAAUAUUUUUAAGCACAAAAAAGUAGAGUUUGCCCCUCGUACCUUUCGCAUCAUGGUUUAACUAGUUCAACUAGGCAAAAAGAUUUAUAGUCUAACUUCCCGAAUCUAGGCGAGCUAUUUUAAGACAGCUUCAUGAGCCAACCCGUCUCUGUCGCAAAAGAGUGGGAUGAUCAUAAAAUAGCGGUGACAAACCUAACGAGCCUAGCGAUAGCUGGUUAUUUUUUAAAAGGAUUUUAGUCCCGCUUAAAGUUUUUCUAAUACCAAGAAAUCACCACUUUAAAGUAAUUCAAAUAAGGUUCAGCCUAUUUGAAAAAGGAUACAACCUUAACCACUGGGUUACUCUGUUUUCACACGACCAAGUAGGCCUAAAAGCAGUCAUCUUUAAAAAAGCGUCAAAGCUUAGUCAUCAAUAACCCUAAUUUCUUACACACCUUCCAACCCCUCAUCACUAAAAAAUAACUCUAUAUCUCUAUAGAAGUUUUUAUGUUAAAAUUAGUAACAAGAAGUAGCCCUUCUCUUAAGUGCAUCUAUACAUCAAUUAGGACAAUCCACUGAUCAUUAACGUUUUUAAACACUAAAUAGUAACAUCUCAAGAAAAAUCUAUUCUCUCUACACGUUAACCUAACACAAGAGCACUCUAAGAAAGAUCAAAAGAAAAAGAAGGAACUCGGCAAAAAUUAGCUUCGCCUGUUUACCAAAAACAUCGCCUCUUGAUUUAACUAUAAGAGGUCCAGCCUGCCCAGUGACACUGUUCAACGGCCGCGGUAUCCUAACCGUGCGAAGGUAGCGUAAUCACUUGUCCUUUAAAUGAGGACUAGUAUGAAUGGCCCCACGAAAGCUAUACUGUCUCCUUUUUCCAAUCAGUUAAAUUAAUCUUCCCGUGAAGAAGCGGGAAUAAACAUAUAAGACGAGAAGACCCUAUGGAGCUUUAAACAAUUGAAACAAGUGCAUUUUUCAUUCCAUUCCAGAAACCAACAAUUAAUCCCUCACUCUGUUUCUAGUUUUAGGUUGGGGUGACCAAGGAGAAAAAACCAACCUCCACGUUGAAAGGGACUAACCCCUUAACAAAAAGCAACAUCUUUAUGUAUUAACACAUUAACCCAAAUUGACCCAAUUAAUUGAUCAACGAACCAAGUUACCCUAGGGAUAACAGCGCAAUCCAUUUCAAGAGCUCUUAUCGACAAAUGGGUUUACGACCUCGAUGUUGGAUCAGGGUAUCCCAGUGGUGCAGCCGCUACUAAAGGUUCGUUUGUUCAACGAUUAAAACCCUACGUGAUCUGAGUUCAGACCGGAGCAAUCCAGGUCAGUUUCUAUCUAUAAAGAGUUUUUUCCAGUACGAAAGGACCAAAAAAACAUGGCCUAUACCCUCCUGCAAGCCAUCCAUUUUGCAUUUAUGAAACAAGCUAAAUAAUCAAAACUCUACAAUUUAUUUUUAGACAAAAACCCA
Molecule: ribosomal RNA, 1594 nt
Filed under: Anomaloglossus verbeeksnyderorum
Lineage: Eukaryota; Metazoa; Chordata; Amphibia; Anura; Aromobatidae
Description: 16S ribosomal RNA
Rfam family: Bacterial large subunit ribosomal RNA
Source: RNAcentral